CCUACGGGAGGCAGCAGUGGGGAAUAUUGCACAAUGGGGGAAACCCUGAUGCAGCGACGCCGCGUGAGUGAAGAAGUAUUUCGGUAUGUAAAGCUCUAUCAGCAGGGAAGAAAAUGACGGUACCUGACUACGAAGCCCCGGCUAACUACGUGCCAGCAGCCGCGGUAAUACGUAGGGGGCAAGCGUUAUCCGGAUUUACUGGGUGUAAAGGGAGCGCAGGCGGGCUGUUAAGCCGGCGGUAAAAAUUCAGGGCUCGACCCUGUCGAGCCGUCGGAACUGGCAGUCUUGAGUGGGCGAUAAGGAUGCGGAAUGCGUGGUGUAGCGUUGAAAUGCAUAGAUAUCACGCAGAACGCCGAUUGCGAAGGCAGCAUACCGGCGCCCAACUGACGCUGAGGCACGAAAGCGUGGGGAUCGAACAGGAUGAGAUACCCCUGUAGUC
RNAcentral lists this ribosomal RNA (439 nucleotides) under uncultured bacterium. Its description in RNAcentral is "partial 16S ribosomal RNA". It matches the Rfam family "Bacterial small subunit ribosomal RNA", at positions 338 to 795 of the family's 1533-position model. The record is from RNAcentral.